This 74-nucleotide transfer RNA is filed under the name bacterium. Its description in RNAcentral is "tRNA-Arg". It matches the Rfam family "tRNA". Rfam says of the family: Transfer RNA (tRNA) molecules are approximately 80 nucleotides in length. Their secondary structure includes four short double-helical elements and three loops (D, anti-codon, and T loops). RNAcentral also lists the same sequence under 2 other names. The record is from RNAcentral.
GCUCCAAUAGCUCAGUUGGAUAGAGCAACUGCCUUCUAAGCAGUAGGUCGGAGGUUCGAUUCCUCCUUGGGGCA